CACCAUACAAGUUGGCACAGGGUCUGCAUUGGUAAUUGGACAAUUUAAUAAAGCGCGGCCUCAACGAAGAAGGUUGCACUUCCCGAUAGAACGGGACUUGGACAAAGGCGUCCUCGCUAGGUGACUAGCGGGACGCC
Non-coding RNA from Pseudomonadales bacterium, 137 nucleotides. Lineage: Bacteria; Pseudomonadati; Pseudomonadota; Gammaproteobacteria; Pseudomonadales. The record is from Rfam.